AUGCCGAUCUCGAAAACCUGUCCCAGUUCGGACUGGAGUCUGCAACCCGACUCCACGAAGUUGGAUUCGCUAGUAAUCGCGCAUCAGCCAUGGCGCGGUGAAUACGUUCCCGGGCCUUGUACACACCGCCCGUCACACCAUGAGAGUUGGAAAUACCCGAAGCCUGUGAGCUAACUUUUAGAGGCAGCAGUCGAAGGUAGAGCCAAUGAUUGGGGUGAAGUCGUAACAAGGUAUC
Molecule: ribosomal RNA, 235 nt
Filed under: uncultured bacterium
Lineage: Bacteria
Description: partial 16S ribosomal RNA
Rfam family: Bacterial small subunit ribosomal RNA
Source: RNAcentral